UACAGAGGGUGCAAGCGUUAAUCGGAAUUACUGGGCGUAAAGCGCGCGUAGGUGGUUCGUUAAGUUGGAUGUGAAAUCCCAGGGCUCAACCCUGGAACUGCCUUCGAUACUGUAUUGCUAGAGUAUGGAAGAGGUAGGUGGAACUGCAAGUGUAGAGGUGAAAUUCGUAGAUAUUUGCAAGAACACCAGUGGCGAAGGCGGCCUACUGGUCCAUCACUGACGCUGAGAUGCGAAAGCGUGGGGAGCAAACAGG
This 253-nucleotide ribosomal RNA is filed under the name uncultured prokaryote. RNAcentral describes it as "partial 16S ribosomal RNA". It matches the Rfam family "Bacterial small subunit ribosomal RNA", at positions 524 to 776 of the family's 1533-position model. The record is from RNAcentral.